UAGGGAAUCUUCCGCAAUGGACGCAAGUCUGACGGAGCAACGCCGCGUGAGUGAAGAAGGAUUUCGGUUCGUAAAACUCUGUUGUUAGAGAAGAACAGCGCAUAGAGUAACUGUUAUGCGUGUGACGGUAUCUAACCAGAAAGCCACGGCUAACUACGUGCCAGCAGCCGCGGUAAUACGUAGGUGGCAAGCGUUGUCCGGAUUUAUUGGGCGUAAAGCGAGCGCAGGCGGUUAGAUAAGUCUGAAGUGAAAGGCAGUGGCUCAACCAUUGUAGGCUUUGGAAACUGUUUAACUUGAGUGCAGAAGGGGAGAGUGGAAUUCCAUGUGUAGCGGUGAAAUGCGUAGAUAUAUGGAGGAACACCGGUGGCGAAAGCGGCUCUCUGGUCUGUAACUGACGCGGAGGCUCGAAAGCGUGGGGAGCGAACAGG
RNAcentral lists this ribosomal RNA (428 nucleotides) under Bacteroidota bacterium. RNAcentral describes it as "Bacteroidetes bacterium partial 16S ribosomal RNA". It matches the Rfam family "Bacterial small subunit ribosomal RNA", at positions 355 to 776 of the family's 1533-position model. Lineage: Bacteria; Pseudomonadati; Bacteroidota. The record is from RNAcentral.